This 300-nucleotide ribosomal RNA is filed under the name uncultured Desulfurococcus sp. RNAcentral describes it as "bacterial SSU rRNA". It matches the Rfam family "Bacterial small subunit ribosomal RNA", at positions 496 to 795 of the family's 1533-position model. The record is from RNAcentral. Lineage: Archaea; Thermoproteati; Thermoproteota; Thermoprotei; Desulfurococcales; Desulfurococcaceae.
GCUAACUCCGUUCCGGGAGCCGGGGUAAUACGGGGUAUCCAAGCUUUAUCCGGGUUUAUUGGGUGUAAAGGGGGGGUAGGCGGCCUGAUAAGUCAGGGGUGAAAGACGGUAGCUCAACUAUCGCAGUGCCCUUGAUACUGCCGGGCUUGAAUGGACUAGAGGUAGGCGGAAUGAGACAAGUAGCGGUGAAAUGCAUAGAUAUGUCUCAGAACACCGAUUGCGAAGGCAGCUUACUAUGGUCUUAUUGACGCUGAGGCACGAAAGCGUGGGGAUCAAACAGGAUUAGAUACCCGUGUAGUC